Molecule: ribosomal RNA, 685 nt
Filed under: uncultured Pseudomonadota bacterium
Lineage: Bacteria; Pseudomonadati; Pseudomonadota
Description: bacterial SSU rRNA
Rfam family: Bacterial small subunit ribosomal RNA
Source: RNAcentral
GCCUAACACAUGCAAGUCGAACGGUAACAGGAAGAAGCUUGCUUCUUUGCUGACGAGUGGCGGACGGGUGAGUAAUGUCUGGGAAACUGCCUGAUGGAGGGGGAUAACUACUGGAAACGGUAGCUAAUACCGCAUAACGUCGCAAGACCAAAGAGGGGGACCUUCGGGCCUCUUGCCAUCGGAUGUGCCCAGAUGGGAUUAGCUAGUAGGUGGGGUAACGGCUCACCUAGGCGACGAUCCCUAGCUGGUCUGAGAGGAUGACCAGCCACACUGGAACUGAGACACGGUCCAGACUCCUACGGGAGGCAGCAGUGGGGAAUAUUGCACAAUGGGCGCAAGCCUGAUGCAGCCAUGCCGCGUGUAUGAAGAAGGCCUUCGGGUUGUAAAGUACUUUCAGCGGGGAGGAAGGGAGUAAGGUUAAUACCUUUGCUCAUUGACGUUACCCGCAGAAGAAGCACCGGCUAACUCCGUGCCAGCAGCCGCGGUAAUACGGAGGGUGCAAGCGUUAAUCGGAAUUACUGGGCGUAAAGCGCACGCAGGCGGUUUGUUAAGUCAGAUGUGAAAUCCCCGGGCUCAACCUGGGAACUGCAUCUGAUACUGGCAAGCUUGAGUCUCGUAGAGGGGGGUAGAAUUCCAGGUGUAGCGGUGAAAUGCGUAGAGAUCUGGAGGAUACCGGUGGCGAAGG